GACGAACGCUGGCGGCGUGCUUAACACAUGCAAGUCGAACGGAAAGGCUCCAGCUUGCUGGCGUACUCGAGUGGCGAACGGGUGAGUAACACGUGGGUAAUCUGCCCUGCACUCUGGGAUAAGCCUGGGAAACUGGGUCUAAUACUGGAUAUGACCUUUCUCUUUAUGGGGUUUGGUGGAAAGUUUUUCGGUGUAGGAUGAGCCCGCGGCCUAUCAGCUUGUUGGUGGGGUGAUGGCCUACCAAGGCGACGACGGGUAGCCGGCCUGAGAGGGUGAUCGGCCACAUUGGGACUGAGAUACGGCCCAGACUCCUACGGGAGGCAGCAGUGGGGAAUAUUGCACAAUGGGCGGAAGCCUGAUGCAGCGACGCCGCGUGAGGGAUGACGGCCUUCGGGUUGUAAACCUCUUUCAGCAGGGACGAAGCGUAAGUGACGGUACCUGCAGAAGAAGCACCGGCUAACUAUGUG
RNAcentral lists this ribosomal RNA (467 nucleotides) under uncultured bacterium. RNAcentral's name for it is "partial 16S ribosomal RNA". It matches the Rfam family "Bacterial small subunit ribosomal RNA", at positions 28 to 507 of the family's 1533-position model. The record is from RNAcentral.